CAUCCGCUGGCAGCGUGCCAGGACACGCCCCUGCUCGCUUUGGCCAUCGCCGGCAAAGCUGCAAGCAAUCAGCGCACCUGGGUCUAAUGAAGGCUAGCAGUAUAAAGACCAGCGGACCCGAGGAUCCUGCGCCGGAACGUAGUUCACUCUUUGUAUGUUUUUCCUGUUCUCCGUGAUCGAGCUGUGUGCCUCGACUCCUCUCUGGAUUUUGGACUGCUUCCCCCGAUCCUCGACCCCCUGCUUGGACUGGUUGCUUCUCUCCUUCCCCCGACCGCUUGCUUGCCUACGGACUGCCUUCUUGCCUGCCCCACUGGACUGACGAAAGAUUCAUCCAACACGUACUUACAACAAAUCCUGCGGCCGAGGAAUGAUCUCUGGGAUCACUACCGCCCUCUACCACCAGGAGGCCGGAUUACUGCAAGCCUCAGCCAGGACGUCUUUUGCAGCAGUUUUAUGAAGGCUCAGCACAAAAAAUAAGUUACACACAUACAGUUGUUGACAAAAUACACUGUAAAUUAUAUACCUCAGCUAACUAAACUAUGCCAUAGUUUAGUUAGCUGGUAUAAUUAAUAUAGCAAUACAGUCUCACUGCACAG
This is a long non-coding RNA of Entelurus aequoreus (snake pipefish), 596 nucleotides long. RefSeq lists it as uncharacterized. The record is from RefSeq and is a predicted model, not a curated record. NCBI's taxonomy places the organism in Eukaryota, Metazoa, Chordata, Actinopteri, Syngnathiformes, Syngnathidae. The transcript is spliced from 3 exons.